UAAGCGCCCCGCCUGGGGAGUACGGCCGCAAGGCUAAAACUCAAAGGAAUUGACGGGGGCCCGCACAAGCGGCGGAGCAUGCGGAUUAAUUCGAUGCAACGCGAAGAACCUUACCAAGGCUUGACAUACACCGGUAACGGCCAGAGAUGGUCGCCCCCUUGUGGUCGGUGUACAGGUGGUGCAUGGUUGUCGUCAGCUCGUGUCGUGAGAUGUUGGGUUAAGUCCCGCAACGAGCGCAACCCUCGUUCUAUGUUGCCAGCGCGUUAUGGCGGGGACUCAUAGGAGACUGCCGGGGUCAACUCGGAGGAAGGUGGGGAUGACGUCAAAUCAUCAUGCCCCUUAUGUCUUGGGCUUCACGCAUGCUACAAUGGCCGGUACAAAGGGCUGCGAUACCGUAAGGUGGAGCGAAUCCCAAAAAGCCGGUCUCAGUUCGGAUUGAGGUCUGCAACUCGACCUCAUGAAGUCGGAGUCGCUAGUAAUCGCAGAUCAGCAACGCUGCGGUGAAUACGUUCCCGGGCCUUGUACACACCGCCCGUCAAGUCAUGAAAGUCGGUAUACUACCCGAAGCCGGUGGCCUA
Molecule: ribosomal RNA, 578 nt
Filed under: Curtobacterium luteum
Lineage: Bacteria; Bacillati; Actinomycetota; Actinomycetes; Micrococcales; Microbacteriaceae
Description: bacterial SSU rRNA
Rfam family: Bacterial small subunit ribosomal RNA
Source: RNAcentral